This 599-nucleotide ribosomal RNA is filed under the name Streptococcus mutans. RNAcentral describes it as "bacterial SSU rRNA". It matches the Rfam family "Bacterial small subunit ribosomal RNA", at positions 367 to 958 of the family's 1533-position model. Lineage: Bacteria; Bacillati; Bacillota; Bacilli; Lactobacillales; Streptococcaceae. The record is from RNAcentral.
GGCAAUGGACGAAAGUCUGACCGAGCAACGCCGCGUGAGUGAAGAAGGUUUUCGGAUCGUAAAGCUCUGUUGUAAGUCAAGAACGUGUGUGAGAGUGGAAAGUUCACACAGUGACGGUAGCUUACCAGAAAGGGACGGCUAACUACGUGCCAGCAGCCGCGGUAAUACGUAGGUCCCGAGCGUUGUCCGGAUUUAUUGGGCGUAAAGGGAGCGCAGGCGGUCAGGAAAGUCUGGAGUAAAAGGCUAUGGCUCAACCAUAGUGUGCUCUGGAAACUGUCUGACUUGAGUGCAGAAGGGGAGAGUGGAAUUCCAUGUGUAGCGGUGAAAUGCGUAGAUAUAUGGAGGAACACCAGUGGCGAAAGCGGCUCUCUGGUCUGUCACUGACGCUGAGGCUCGAAAGCGUGGGUAGCGAACAGGAUUAGAUACCCUGGUAGUCCACGCCGUAAACGAUGAGUGCUAGGUGUUAGGCCCUUUCCGGGGCUUAGUGCCGGAGCUAACGCAAUAAGCACUCCGCCUGGGGAGUACGACCGCAGGUUGAAACUCAAAGGAAUUGACGGGGGCCCGCACAAGCGGUGGAGCAUGUGGUUUAAUUCGAAGCA